This 1379-nucleotide ribosomal RNA is filed under the name Ambulyx japonica. RNAcentral describes it as "16S ribosomal RNA". The stretch from base 1093 to 1252 matches the Rfam family "Eukaryotic large subunit ribosomal RNA", at positions 2825 to 2984 of the family's 3401-position model. The record is from RNAcentral. Lineage: Eukaryota; Metazoa; Arthropoda; Insecta; Lepidoptera; Sphingidae.
GGGUUAAAAUUAAUAAUUAGUGUUGAUUUAAUAAAAGAAAUUUUAAUAUUAAAAUAUUUAAUGGGGGUUAAAGUAUUUUUAAUAGAAAAAAUUUGAAAUUUUAUAGUUAAUAAGUAUUGUGAAAGAAAUUUGAAAUAAAUUUAAAAUAAAUUUUUUUAAAAGUAAAUUUAAUUUGUUGUAUCUUGUGUAUCAGAGUUUAUUAAAAAUUUUUUAAAUUUUAAAUUUCUCGAAUUUAAAAGAGUUAAUUAAUUAUUAAAUUUAUUGUUUCAUAAAUAUUUUAAAUAAUUAAUUGGAAAUGAAAUGUUAUUCGUUUUUAAAUAUAUCUAGUUUUUUAAGAAAAAAAUUUAAUUUUUAAUUAAUUUUUAAAAUUAAUUAAUUAAAAUUAAUUAAUUUUAAAAAUUAGUUUAAUAUUUUAAGGGAUAAGCUUUAAAUUAAAUUUUUAUAAUUUAUUUAUUAUAAAUUUGAAAAUUUUAUAAUUUAUAUUGUUAAUAAAUUUUAAUUUAUUAUAAAUAAUUUCAUUGAAUUUUAAGAUUUAAUUAAUAAUUUAAUAUUUUAUUAAAAAAUAUUUUAUAAUAAGUUAUAUUUAGUUAUAAUGAUAAAAUUAGUAUAUAAUAUAAUUAAAAUAAUAAAAUUUAGGUUUAUGAUAAUUAUUUUAAAGGAAUUCGACAAAAUUUUAUAUUCACCUGUUUAUCAAAAACAUGUCUUUUUGAAAAUAAUUUAAAGUCUAAUCUGCCCACUGAUUUUUAAUUAAAGGGCUGCAGUAUAUUGACUGUACAAAGGUAGCAUAAUCAAUAGUCUCUUAAUUGGUGACUUGUAUGAAAGAUUGGAUGAAAUAUAAAUUGUCUCUAAUGUAUAUAUUUGAAUUUAAUUUUUUAUUUAAAAAGUUAAAAUAAUUUAAAAAGACGAGAAGACCCUAUAGAGUUUUAUAUUUAUUUAAUUUUAGGUUAUAAUUUAAUUUGGUUUAAAUUUAAAUUUAAUUAAUUAUUUUGUUGGGGUGAUAGAAAAAUAGAUAAAACUUUUUUUUAAUUUAAAUCAUUAAUUUAUGAAUUAUUGAUCCAAUUAUUAUUGAUUAUAAGAAAAAAUUACCUUAGGGAUAACAGCGUAAUUUUUUUUUUUAGUACUUAUAAGAAAAAGAGUUUGCGACCUCGAUGUUGGAUUAAGAUAAAAUUUAAAUGCAAAAGUUUAAAAUUUUUGAUCUGUUCGAUCAUUAAAAUCUUACAUGAUCUGAGUUCAAACCGGUGUAAGCCAGGUUGGUUUCUAUCUUUUAAUAAAUUUUAAUAUUUUAGUACGAAAGGAUUAAAUAUUAUAAUUAAAUUAAUUAUUUUUGAAUAAUAUUAAUAAUUUAAUAUAUUUAUAACUAUUUUGGCAGAAAAAUGUGA